GAACGCGAAGAACCUUACCUGGGCUUGAACCGCGGCUUACAGAGGCUGAAAGGCCUUGCUCCUUCGGGAGGUGCCGUAGAGGUGCUGCAUGGCUGUCGUCAGCUCGUGUCGUGAGAUGUUGGGUUAAGUCCCGCAACGAGCGCAACCCUUGUCGUUAGUUGCCAGCGCGUCAUGGCGGGGACUCUAACGAGACUGCCGGCGUAAGCCGGAGGAAGGUGGGGACGACGUCAAGUCAUCACGGCCUUUAUGUCCAGGGCUACACACGUGCUACAAUGGCCGGCACAAAGGGCUGCGAACCCGCGAGGGGGAGCCAAUCCCAAAAAUCCGGCCUCAGUUCGGAUUGCAGUCUGCAACUCGACUGCAUGAAGUUGGAAUCGCUAGUAAUCGCGGAAUCAGCAGGGUCGCGGUGAAUACGUUCCCGGGGUCUUGUACAC
This 434-nucleotide ribosomal RNA is filed under the name uncultured bacterium. RNAcentral describes it as "bacterial SSU rRNA". It matches the Rfam family "Bacterial small subunit ribosomal RNA", at positions 957 to 1388 of the family's 1533-position model. The record is from RNAcentral.